Molecule: long non-coding RNA, 808 nt
Filed under: Homo sapiens (human)
Lineage: Eukaryota; Metazoa; Chordata; Mammalia; Primates; Hominidae
Description: non-protein coding LINC01088:39
Source: RNAcentral
AGAUAUCUGGAUGACCAGCUGCAGAAAGGAGCUACUCAUUCCAGGGCCUCCUCUCUGCUGAGAGCAGCAGACAUCAGGAUGACCAGCUGCAGAGAGGAGCUACCCACUCCAGGGCCUCCUCUUUGAUGAGAGCUGCAGAGACAGUGGGACAACCUGUCUGCAGAGAAAAGGUACCCACUCCAAGGCUUCCUCUGAGCUAUUCUGACACUCAGUAAAGCUCCUCUUUGCCUUGCUCACCCUCUGCUUGUCUGUGUACCUCAUUCUUCCUGUAUGCAGGACAAGAACUCAGGACCUAUAGAAUGGCAGGGCUGAAAGAGCUGUGACACAAGCAGGUGAAGAGGAGAGAAGAGCUGUGGCCCUUUGGAAUACAACAUGUUUAAGACCACAGAACAUCUGCAUAGGCUGUAAAUUUCGUUGAAUGAUGGAUGCAAAGAUGGAAGACAGAUGGAUAGAGGAAAAGACAGAAUCAGAUACUGGAUGAGUUAGUACUGCUGCCUGUGCUUCAGAGCUGUCUUAUUACCACAAGGCCGGCAAGCAUCAAUGUCCCCACAUCCCCCUCUGCCUCCCCCUGAAAUGUACCGAUUUAUAUGAAAAUUAAGAUUACAAAUUAAAGCCUGGCUAUCCUGGAGUUUUCCAGUUCAUCAGCCAUCCAAUAAAAAUGAUGUCAAGCCUGUAUGCAUAAUUCCCGGAAGAUUACUUUCGUCCUUACAGCUAAGCCCUGUCCCUGAUAUGAAAGAUCUCUAUCCACUUUUAUUGAAAUAAAGAACUAACAUCAUAAUCCCAAUAUUGAGGUAUAAUCUUCAUUAUC